GGUCGAGCAAGUCUCGUAAAUUUCGCGAUUGCGAGCCACGCUUCACGCAACCGUGUUUGCGUACUUGUGUUUCGAGUUGCGUGGUCGUGCGGAGUUAUAUUUACCAAAUUUAAAUGUAAUCCUUUCUACUGAUAAUAAUAUACUAUUCUCAAUAUGGCUACUGGGUGUAAAAGAUAAAUCUUAUUCUAUCUGUUCUUCAUGAGUUUUAGAUAAUUUUAGUUGUAUUUCUUUGUAAUUUUGUGUUGUACAAAGAUUAAUUUAACAUUUUCUCUGGAAGUAUUAAUUUAGAAAGAUAAUAUGCUUCAUUGGUGUUGUGUUUUGAAGUGUGAAAUGCAAAGUAAUUGUGAUAAAGUCAAGAUAAAGUUCACUUUUAAACUGAACUAAAUAAGGUAUCUGAGAGACAACAAUGGUUAAAUGCAAUACAAUGUACAGGUUUUACUAGCGAAAUGAAAAUUUUCCUGUCCUGUCUGCUGUAAUCAUUUUAUAUCUGGAAAAUAGGAAAACCAGCCGACUUAAUCGAUAAUAACAAUCUCCAGAUUGGGUUCCUUCAAUAAAUAUGGGCUAUAAACACAAUGAAAUAAGUUCCCCAAAAUCUAAAAUGGAGUGCUAUCAAAGGAGAAUUAAAGGAAAAAAUAUUCAUAUUGAAAUUAUUUAUAAGGCACUGGACUGUCUUAAAUUCUACAAUAAUACUAGAAUCAGCUGAGAGAAGUGGUCUACAAAAAACCAGGAAGGAAACGGAAUAUGUGGCUACGAAAGGCAAAAGAAAGGUUUACAAAGCAAAUGUGAUACAUUUUUUUGAAAUAUUUAGGAAUAUCAGUAAAUUGCAUUAAAAAAUGUAUGAAAAGAUUUUGUUCAAUAAAAAUGUUUAUAUUUAUCAAGGAUGUAUUAUUUGGUAUGGCCACA
This is a long non-coding RNA of Diabrotica virgifera virgifera (western corn rootworm), 903 nucleotides long. RefSeq lists it as uncharacterized. The record is from RefSeq and is a predicted model, not a curated record. The transcript has 3 exons. NCBI's taxonomy places the organism in Eukaryota, Metazoa, Arthropoda, Insecta, Coleoptera, Chrysomelidae.